Molecule: unclassified non-coding RNA, 20 nt
Filed under: Mus musculus (house mouse)
Lineage: Eukaryota; Metazoa; Chordata; Mammalia; Rodentia; Muridae
Description: oocyte_clustered_small_RNA5269
Source: RNAcentral
ACUCUGCCGCCAAGAUGCCC